Molecule: ribosomal RNA, 2046 nt
Filed under: Haplobothrium globuliforme
Lineage: Eukaryota; Metazoa; Platyhelminthes; Cestoda; Haplobothriidea; Haplobothriidae
Description: SSU rRNA
Rfam family: Eukaryotic small subunit ribosomal RNA
Source: RNAcentral
GAUCCUGCCAGUAGUCAUAUGCUUGUCUCAAAGUAAGCCAUGCAUGUCUAAGUGCGCGCCCUUAAUNNGUGAAACCGCGAAUGGCUCAUUAAAUCAGCUAUGGUUUAUUGGAUGCACCCGUUAAAUGGAUAACUGUAAUAACUCUAGAGCUAAUACAUGCCUCGAAGCCCUGACCCGUGAGGGGAUGGGUGCACUUAUUAGAUCAGAAGCCAACCGGGCUUCGCGUGCCUGUUGUCGUUCUGGUGACUCUGGAUAAUUGUUACAGAUCGCAGUCGGCCUUGAGUCGGCCACGGGUCCUUCAAAUGUCUGCCCUAUCAACUGUCGAUGGUAGGUUACCUGCCUACCAUGGUUAUAACGGGUAACGGGGAAUCAGGGUUCGAUUCCGGAGAGGGAGCCUGAGAAACGGCUACCACUUCCAAGGGAGGCAGCAGGCGCGCAAAUUACCCACUCCCAGCACGGGGAGGUGGUGACGAAAAAUACCGAUGCGGGACUCUUACGAGGCUCCGUAAUCGGAAUGAGUGAAAUCUAAAUCCUUUCACGAGGAUCAAUUGGAGGGCAAGUCUGGUGCCAGCAGCCGCGGUAACUCCAGCUCCAAUAGCGUAUAUUAAAGUUGCUGCAGUUAAAAAGCUCGUAGUUGGAUCUCGGUAUCACUGCUGCCUGUCAGUCCUUGGGUGUCAGGCCAAGUCUCGUGCUGCUACGGUGGUGUGGACUGGUCGGGUGCCUGAGUUGGCGUGGCGGCGGUGCCACCUUUCAGCCAUGUCUGUGGUGCAAUACCCACAGGUGUAGGCGGGUGUCGGGCGGUGCUCUGCUCUGUGGGGGCCCGUCGGCUCGUUUGCAUGCCUCUGGAUGCCCUUCAAAAGGUGUCUGCGGGCGGAUGGCACGUUUACUUUGAACAAAUUUGAGUGCUCAAACCAGGCCGAUGCUGCCUGAAAAGUUUUGCAUGGAAUAAUGGAAUAGGACUUCGGUUCUAUUUCGUUGGUUUUCGGAUCCGAAGUAAUGAUCAAAAGAGACAGGCGGGGACGUUUGUAUGGUUGCGCUAGAGGUGAAAUUCAUGGACCGUAACCAGACAAACUAAAGCGAAAGCAUUCGUCAAGCAUGUUUUCAUUGGCCAUGAGCGAAAGUCAGAGGCUCGAAGACGAUCAGAUACCGUCCUAGUUCUGACCAUAAACGAUGCCAACUGACGAUCCGUGUUGGUAGUACUACAACCUUCCUCACGGGCGAUCCCCGGGAAACCUUUAAGUCUUUGGGUUCCGGGGGAAGUAUGGUUGCAAAGCUGAAACUUAAAGGAAUUGACGGAAGGGCACCACCAGGAGUGGNGUGCGGCUUAAUUUGACUCAACACGGGAAAACUCACCGGCCCGGACACUAUGAGGAUUGACAGAUUGACAGCUCUUUCUUGAUUUGGUGGUUGGUGGUGCAUGGCCGUUCUUAGUUGGUGGAGCGAUUUGUCUGUAUCGAUAACGAACGAGACUCUAGCCUGCUAAUUAGUGUGCCUGUCCUCUGUUCCCGUGCAAGUGGCGCUAGUGGAAGCCUCUUACGUUCUGCUGCCUGUUUUGGUGGUGCCGAUGGUUCGCCUUGGGUGCUAGCCGUUACAGGCGCUGUUUGCGGUGGAAGCUGUGUCGUCUUCCGGGUACGGCGCAGUGCCUACUUCUUAGAGGACAAGUAUCUGAAUGUGCACAAAUUGAGCAAUAACAGGUCUGUGAUGCCCUUAGAUGUCCGGGGCCGCACGCGCGCUACAAUGACGGUGCCAAUGAGUCUGACCUUCUGGCCCGAAAGGGUUGGGUAAACUGGUCAAUCACCGUCAUGACAGGGAUCGGGGCUUGGAAUUGUUCCCCGUGAACGAGGAAUUCCUAGUAAGCGCAAGUCAUAAGCUUGCGCUGAUUACGUCCCUGCCCUUUGUACACACCGCCCGUCGCUACUACCGAUUGAAUGGUUUAGUAAGGUCUUUGGAUUGGCGUCAUUGUAGUAGCCGCUGCCAGGCGGUUACUCGACAGGUNCUGAGANGACGACCNAACUUNAUCAUUUAGAGGANGUAAAAGUCGCAACA